AAACCCCUAGAUUGUGUGUUCUGUGCUGAAAAUGAGACAAAUCAUCAUUUAUUGUUUGAUUGCAUAGUUGCCACGAGUGUAUGGUCCUUUGUCAGCCAUCACUUUGAAAUCGAGAUAGGCACAAAUUUCGAGUCUGUUGCUCGACUUUGGGUUUCUAACAAAAAGAACUUAGCUUUGAACAUUGUUAGCUCUGUCCUAUGGUGUUUGUGGAAAUAUAGGAACUCUAUGAUUUUUAACCACACCAUCUGGACCUCUAUUAUUCAGGUGUGGAGUUUGAUCCUCAGAAUGCUCAAAUUCUGGGUGAUGCUGACCCCAGAGGCUGGCAAGCCCAAGAUGGAGGCGUUGUUGAGCGCUCUGACAAAACUUCUCCAACAACCCUUGAGGAUCUUGAGUAGCUGA
This 399-nucleotide ribosomal RNA is filed under the name Triticum aestivum (bread wheat). Its description in RNAcentral is "partial small subunit ribosomal RNA". Lineage: Eukaryota; Viridiplantae; Streptophyta; Magnoliopsida; Poales; Poaceae. The record is from RNAcentral.